Cryptomeria japonica (Japanese cedar) is the source of this 1176-nucleotide long non-coding RNA. RefSeq lists it as uncharacterized. The record is from RefSeq and is a predicted model, not a curated record. NCBI's taxonomy places the organism in Eukaryota, Viridiplantae, Streptophyta, Pinopsida, Cupressales, Cupressaceae. The transcript is spliced from 3 exons.
CCGUUUCAUUUAACAAUAAAAUUAGAGCCGAGUUCCUCUUCUAUGCAAAUCAAUACAGGACUGCUCCAAGCUAGGUAUAUCAUCUUGAAGCACAUCUUGCUUCCGCAGGCGUACUUUGUUGGUGAUGGAUACUCAUAAGGUCAUUGCCCUGCUGAAAAGAGCCACCGAGACCAAAGAGAUACAUCUGGGGAGGCUCAUCCACGCCCUCCUUAUCAAGACUGAUUACCAGUGUAUGCCCAGUUCGGACACUAGCCGAAGACCUGCAAACACUUCCAACAAACACAACACGGAAGGCCAGCGCGAAGUUACUGCACCAUCGGAGUCGGCUUGGAAGUCUGAUCCGGUGUAGCAGCUGCUGAAAAAGUCGAACAGAUUCGUGCCCAUAUUGUAAAAUUCGGUUAUAAAAGGCGAAGUCUUUAUAAAAAGCGCUGCGGGUGAUAUGCAUUCGAACUGGGGGGAUAGGAAGGAUACAUGCAAUCUGUUUGAGAAAAUGCCCGAAUGCUUCGAGUGUUUCCUCUACGGAUGAUGAGCUAUGGUGUUGGUUUUACCAAAAACUUGCUGAAAAUUCGCCCGUAAUCGAUGCCAAAACUUGCAGAAAACCAGCAGCACAGAACUUGUGAGUAAAACUUGUGAAAGCUCACUAGUUUUGUCAUCUGAAAAAUUACCUGACUACUCUGUGAGUUUGCUAUCUAUGCUUUUGUUCUUUUCACUAUCAUAUCAUAAAGUGAUCUUUCUAUAGUGUUCCAUUGAAGACAAAAACUUAAGAGCUACCAUUCUAUCCCUUGGUUUAUGGUUAUUAAAGAAUGCUGCUUCCAUUGAUUAAAGAAUGCUGCCACAAUUCUUGGUGUUUGUAUGACGGGGUGUGACCCAGUCAUAGGUUCCAUCUAAGUGAAAGUUUCAUCUAAGAAUGCGUAUAAGUGAGUUUUCAUUCUAAUUUAUUAAUAUGAGGACAUAUCUAAAUGUAAUGAAUAUUUCAAACUAUUUCCUAAAUGAAUUCUAGACAUGAAAAUAUUGGAUUUUUAUAUAGUUGAUAUAGAUGUAUCUAGAAACACCACAUAUUCUUUAAAUUAGAAUAGUUAUAUAAUGGUCAUUCGACUGUCUUAUAUGGCCGUAAAUUGGUUAUUGAGACCUUGUGAAAGUUUGUUUUCCUUCAAAGAAAUUGAUUUUCUUUUAAGA